AAAUAAUGCAGUCUGUCAGAAGCAAAUUCUAUUGUAAAAGCAGUAACUGUUCCCAGGCUUUGCCUGUGAUGCCCGCACGCUGCUCUGCCCGGGAAGGACUGGGCUAGCAAUGAAUUACUGCUCAUUUCAAUCUGCCUUUCACAGAAACGUCUAACUUUUUUGUUUACACUGGACCCAGAUCCCAUAAAUAUGGAGUAUCUGUUGCGGCCGCUCCACGUCUGCCCAGCUGAACUCCAUGAUUUUGACUAGAGGUGACAGCUGAAAAGCACCAGAAACCCUUGGAAUUUCAGAUCUAUAUAUUACUAUAAAGGAAGAAAAUAAAGUUCCGCUAGUAGAAGACCUUGGAAGGGUGUGUGUCCUGAACAAUUUCCAUUGUGGAGAAACGCAACAAAUAACAAAGUGCAGUCAAAGCUAGCCCUGCUCCGUGAUGAAUUUCAAGGAGCGUGACCAAUAAUCUUCUACUUAUCUUAAAAACCCUAUGGAAGUACUAGACCAGUUCCAACAGAAGUGAGAGCAAACUGUGGGAAAAAAAAAAACCCUCACAAAAAAGCCAUCUGUCUGAGAACAACCCGAGAAUCCUAAGUCCACCCAAGUAGUCACUGCGUGUUUUUCUGCACUGCUAAUGGAUUGCAUAUUGUUGAAAAUAUGAAUUACAGAAUAAAUCAGGAGAGAGUGACAAUUACGGGUCCGAUUCUGUUCUUGGCUGCGGUGGCAUUAUUGACCUAAUGUUGUUUUCUGCUAUUGUGGGGCACAUUGGAUAAUUAUCCAAUUUAAGAACAACUCCAGACCGAAGGAGUAAAUGGGAGCUGUCUGAAGGCAGGGACUGCCAGAGGAGCCAGGCUGACAGUCGGUGAGGUUCAGACCACUGUAGGCUGUGGAUUUUCCCAAAGCUUUAUACGCUGCUAUUAACUCUGCCACAUAUACUCCAUGGUAUGAAAUACAUGUCUUAAAUAUACCUUUAAAAAUGUCUUGUGCUGGGGACAUGCCAAACAUCACACGCUCCCUUUAGGGGACACAUGAAAAGUUACAAACCGUGAGCCCUGUUGCAGAGCUGCUGCCUCCCAGAUUCCUAUUUGAAGUGAGGAAGAGUUUUGGCUGAAGACGGAGAGCAGGAUAAGAGGGCCCUGCAAUGUAAGGAUUAGAAAGGAAUCAGGAAUUUUGCUAUGAUUACUGCGCCAGAAAAAAAAAAAGAGAUAUGUAUGUAUAAUAUCAGAUAACAUCCUCCUGCAUGUGAAAGGAAAGCCACUAAUUCAGCAGCGUUCUUAUUUUCAAAUGAAUUCCAACAGUGAGACAAGCGAGCAGCUUUGUGAAGAGGGACAGUCAUUAAUAUGCCUGACGGGGGCUUUUUUCCCGUUCCUACCAAACGGGAUGUAACGUAAUUCCACAUUAAAACCGGGAAGCGGUUCUGCAUGUUUUCUAAUUAUCCUUGCUGUGGUCGAUGCUUCAUAAAGGAAGAAUAGAAAAGGAAAAAAUAAAAGGGUCUGCGUGGACGUGAAACUUUGUUCAUCGCUUGCAUGCUAAACAGUGCAGGUUUAACCUCCUGCACAUUGCAAAAAAAGACAUGUGGCAUUGCUUCUCCUUGCAUGGAAGCCCUGGGCUGGCCCGGCGGUGGAUCGGGGCAGGAUUGGGCCCAGCAGCACUGCCAGAGCUCUGCGGGUGUAUCCGAGAGCAGCAAUUCGGGUCUGCCCCAGCAUCAGCGCAGCGCAUCGCUGCGGCAGCGUUCCCCGCUGACUGCGGGGCUGUUUGAUGAGUAAUUAGGAGACCUUCUCUUUAGUUUGUUUGACAUAUUUUACAAAACAUGUAAAUCUGUUAAAAAAAUUGCUUGUUCAUUGAAAAGACUUAGCUCCUAAAUGAAGCAGGGUAUCCGCUAAGUGGGGAUAAUUUUAGGAUUUAUUAUUAUUUUUUUUUUCAUUACGACUUCAAACACAAUGGGCUCUCUUUCACUUGAAAAGGAUUUUUUGUUGUUGUUGUUUCUUUUGAGAAGCAAUUAUUCUGUUUCUGCGUCUGUGUAGCUUCACCCGGAGCUCAUACAGAGAAAAUCACUGUAAUGCUCAGAGAUAAACAUAUCUAGACUUACAGAUAUCCAUGUGCCUACUGAAGUUUGUUUGUAUUUUACACCCACAUGUCACAGUCGGUGUAAUUAACUACUUACUGGAAAGCAGCAAACAGAGCCCCUGUCUGCUGCCGGACCGGAGGGGGUCAUUUUUGCUCUCUGCCUUUUAGACAUCUUUAGCAAAGAAAUCUCCCCCUAAAACUGCAAAAUACCCCUCAAAUAUCCCAGCACCCAUACUGCUUCAUUUGUGAAAUAUGCUUUGAAGAUCGUCUGAUGAUACGCUUUAAUGAUUCAGCUUCCCCAACUAUUGCAGCUUUGUGUAGUCAAAGAAUUUAAUUUUACUUAGUUUAAAACCACUUGGUGAUGUGAACUGAUCAGAGUUUCCCUUCCUUCAGCUGUUUGGCAGUGACAAAAUGAAGGGACACUGCUAAGCACCCACGACUGCAGUCCAACUUGCUGCUUGAUGCACUCAAAUCUGUAGGCGUCAAUUGUUAUUACUAUUAUUAUUAUUAUUAUUCAAUCAGAAAUGCAAACUGAGGUAUUUAAAGCAAGGCACUGGCCCUGUGGUUAAAGUUGCCUCAAAA
This 2637-nucleotide long non-coding RNA is filed under the name Gallus gallus (chicken). The record is from RNAcentral. Lineage: Eukaryota; Metazoa; Chordata; Aves; Galliformes; Phasianidae.